Molecule: long non-coding RNA, 908 nt
Filed under: Monodelphis domestica (gray short-tailed opossum)
Lineage: Eukaryota; Metazoa; Chordata; Mammalia; Didelphimorphia; Didelphidae
Description: lncRNA (ENSMODG00000033556.2)
Source: RNAcentral
CACCACGAAGACCCUUCCCAUCCUUUGACCUUCCCAAGAAGGACACUUGACACAUGUUUAGUUUAGGAUAGUGACAGUGAUUAGAGGAAGGAGAAGAGACUCUGAAGCUGAGCCAUUUGUCUCCGCUGAAGAAAGAAACGACAACCUGUAGGGUCUCCUAUUCCCACAAACCUAUCUCCUCCUUUAUGUUACUUGAAUUAAUAAACUACCUUGUUUUGAAGAAACUCGAAGUCAGAUUCAAAUCAGAAGAACAAAGAAAGAGAAGGUGUUGGCUAGGCUGGCCAUUUAGCCUUGGCUAAACAACAAAGAACCAACAGGGACGGUCAGCCUGCCAGACAAGUGGGACUUCUGGGGGGUCAAGUACCAGUCAAGCCAUGAGAGAAGUAAACUCCAUUAUUCCCCAAGAGCCUACUCAUUGAGACACUGCCCCUAUUCAUCCUUGCCUUAACAUCAGCUCAGGGGUACCUCUCUGGAAGCUUAGUAUACCCACCAGAACUGUUAUGCAGAUCCAGUGAGAUAAGAUGGGAAGCAGAUCAUGAUCAUCCAGCCUCCCAAGGCAGUCCUUGUGAAGGCACCAAGGAAGAUGUGGUAAAAAUGUGGAUGGUUCUAUUCAGCCCCUUUCCAUUACCAAAGAAAUCAUUCAAGUCAUCAUACCUUCAUUACCUACUUUGUACCACAGCUAGGAGGAAAAUGCCACUAGAGAGAAGAAACAAAGAGGAAAAAGCUGAAAUGGACAGCUAAGACUUUGAACUUUGUAAAUUUGUUUAUAUAAGAAGAGGACAAAUGGAAAACAGGACUUAUAUGCAAGACUGAGUGUGGCAAAAUCAUAAAACAAAAUUAAUUUCACAUAAUAGGGAAAUAGCAUGUAACACUACAUAACUUGGAAUAAAGAAGAGAUCCGUCAGUCA